RNAcentral lists this ribosomal RNA (497 nucleotides) under uncultured bacterium. RNAcentral's name for it is "partial 16S ribosomal RNA". It matches the Rfam family "Bacterial small subunit ribosomal RNA", at positions 28 to 507 of the family's 1533-position model. The record is from RNAcentral.
GAUGAACGCUGGCGGCGUGCCUAAUACAUGCAAGUCGAGCGGACGGACGAGAAGCUUGCUUCUCUGAUGUUAGCGGCGGGCGGGUGAGUAACACGUGGAUAACCUACCUAUAAGACUGGGAUAACUUCGGGAAACCGGAGCUAAUACCGGAUAAUAUUUUGAACCGCAUUGUUCAAAAGUGAGAGACGGUCUUGCUGUCACUUAUAGAUGGAUCCGCGCUGCAUUAGAUGGUUGUUAAGGUAACGGCCUACCAAGGCAACGAUGCAUAGCCGAACUGAGAGGGUGAUAGGCCACCCUGGAAGUGGGCCACGGACCAUGCUCCUACGGGAGGCAGCAGUCGGGAAUGGUACGCAAUGGGCGAAAGCCUGACGGAGCAACGCCGCGUGAGUGACGAAGGUCUUCGGAUCGUAAAACUCUGUUAUUAGGGAAGAACAGAUGUGGAAGUAACUGUGCACAGCUUGACGGUACCUAAUCAGAAAGCCACGGCUAACUACGUG